Molecule: long non-coding RNA, 224 nt
Filed under: Homo sapiens (human)
Lineage: Eukaryota; Metazoa; Chordata; Mammalia; Primates; Hominidae
Description: HSALNT0344857
Source: RNAcentral
UUGGCAUCGGCGGUUGAGCCAAAUGGGGACUCGUGGUGCAAGCAACGCUCCCCACGUGUUAGCGUGCGUGAGAUGCGGUUGGCGGAAUUUUACUAGGUGCGUGUUGGUAGAGUGGGGCUGAGGUUUUCUUGCUCCUGUGGAUGUAUAGCAAGUCAAAGGUCCUGCCCAGCCCUGCGGUCCCCUCAGUCAACUCUGUUUCGGAGACGUAACGAUUUGGAUUGCCA